Molecule: ribosomal RNA, 468 nt
Filed under: uncultured bacterium
Lineage: Bacteria
Description: partial 16S ribosomal RNA
Rfam family: Bacterial small subunit ribosomal RNA
Source: RNAcentral
GACGAACGCUGGCGGCGUGCUUAAUACAUGCAAGUAGAACGGUAAGGCGCUGCUCUUGCUGUGCGUUCGAGUGGCGCAAGGGUGAGUAUAACGCGUGUAACCUGUCCCUGAUAUUGGGGUAUCUUUAGGAAAAUGGGUAUCAUAUCGGACAGGAGCUUCUGCUGCACGGUGGGGGUUGGUAAGAUUCGGCGGUUGGGGAUGGACGCGCGGCUUUUCAGCUUGUUGGUGGGGUGGUGGCGUACCAAGGCUUCGACGAGUAGCCGGCCUGCGAGGGUGACAGGCCACAUUGGGACUGAGGUACGACCAGGAGUCCUACGGGAGGCAGCAGUGGAGAAUAGUGCGCAAUAGGCGGAAGCCGGAUGCAGCAACGCCGCGUGCGGGAUGACGGCCUUCGGGUUGUAAACCGCUUGCGCCUGUGACGAAGCGUGAGUGACGGUAAUGUGUAAGAAAGCACCGGCUAACUACGUG